GUACAAAAUUAUAUCAUCUAUGAUAUAACGCACCCGAUCUCAUCUGGUCUCGGAAGCUAAGCAGGGUUGGACCUGGUUAGUACUUGAAUGGGAGACCACCUGGGAAUAGCGGGUGCUGUAGGCU
This 124-nucleotide ribosomal RNA is filed under the name Choloepus hoffmanni (Hoffmann's two-fingered sloth). Lineage: Eukaryota; Metazoa; Chordata; Mammalia; Pilosa; Megalonychidae. The record is from RNAcentral.